CCUGAAAGAUGAUUCUAGCAGAACUUGUGGCGGCA
This 35-nucleotide small RNA is filed under the name Bombyx mori (domestic silkworm). Its description in RNAcentral is "ovarian small RNA-14002". The record is from RNAcentral. Lineage: Eukaryota; Metazoa; Arthropoda; Insecta; Lepidoptera; Bombycidae.